AUGAACGCUGGCGGCGUGCUUAACCCCUGCCCGUCGAACGAGAAGUGAAGACGGAAACCUUCGGGCGGAAGGCUUUAUUUCGAGUGGCGGACGGGUGAGUAACGCGUGGGUAACCUGCCUCAUACAGGGGGAUAACAGUUGGAAACGACUGUUAAUACCGCAUAAGACCACAGCACCGCAUGGUGCGGGGGUAAAAACUCCGGUGGUAUGAGAUGGACCCGCGUUCGAUUAGCCAGUUGGCGGGGUAACGGCCCACCAAAGCGACGAUCGAUAGCCGAUCUGAGAGGAUGACCGGCCACAUUGGGACUGAGACACGGCCCAAACUCCUACGGGAGGCAGCAGUGGGGAAUAUUGCACAAUGGGGGAAACCCUGAUGCAGCGACGCCGCGUGAGUGAAGAAGUAUUUCGGUAUGUAAAGCUCUAUAAGCAGGGAAGAAAAUGACGGUACCUGAGGAAGAAGCCCCGGCUAACUACGUG
This 477-nucleotide ribosomal RNA is filed under the name uncultured bacterium. RNAcentral's name for it is "partial 16S ribosomal RNA". It matches the Rfam family "Bacterial small subunit ribosomal RNA", at positions 29 to 507 of the family's 1533-position model. The record is from RNAcentral.